RNAcentral lists this ribosomal RNA (517 nucleotides) under Pelagodinium bei. RNAcentral describes it as "eukaryotic LSU rRNA". It matches the Rfam family "Eukaryotic large subunit ribosomal RNA", at positions 281 to 806 of the family's 3401-position model. Lineage: Eukaryota; Dinophyceae; Suessiales; Suessiaceae. The record is from RNAcentral.
UGGAGCGUAAAGUGGGUGGUAAAUUUCAUCUAAAGCUAAAUAUAGGCUUGAGACCGAUAGCAAACAAGUACCAUGAGGGAAAGAUGAAAAGGACUUUGAAAAGAGAGUUAAAAGUGCUUGAAAUCGCUGAAAGGGAAGCGAAUGGAACCAGUCUUCUGGCUGAGAUUGUUGCGUGCUACUGUGAUGCCUGGCUGCUUCAACGCAAGUGUGGCAGUUAGAGUUGAUCAGCUGUGCGUGAUGUUUCUCAGCUUGUUAGUCAACCUUUGUUCGUGCUUGGGGAUAACUGCGGGUUCCAUGUUCUUCUCUGCGGAGUUGAGCUCGUGCCUGUAAGGACUCAGGUGUGUACAAUUGGUGACAAAAUGGUUCUCUUCGACCCGUCUUGAAACACGGACCAAGGAGUCUAGCACAUGUGCAAGUUCACAGGUGGCAAGCCUGCUUGCGCAAUGAAGGUGACUGCUGGGAUAUUUGCACCAGCANCCGACCAAUCNAUNGAGAGAAGUUUGAGUAUGAGCAUAUG